This 253-nucleotide ribosomal RNA is filed under the name uncultured bacterium. RNAcentral describes it as "partial 16S ribosomal RNA". It matches the Rfam family "Bacterial small subunit ribosomal RNA", at positions 524 to 776 of the family's 1533-position model. The record is from RNAcentral.
UACGAAGGGGGCUAGCGUUGCUCGGAAUUACUGGGCGUAAAGGGCGUGCAGGCGGCUUGUUAAGUGCAGGGUGAAAGCUCCCGGCUCAACUGGGAGAGGUCCUUGCAUACUGGCAAACUCGAGGGAGGCAGAGGAAAGUGGAAUUCCCGGUGUAGUGGUGAUAUGCGUAGAUAUCGGGAGGAACACCUGUGGCGAAAGCGGCUCACUGGACCAUUACUGACGCUGAGGAGCGAAAGCGUGGGGAGCGAACAGG